Manis javanica (Malayan pangolin) is the source of this 1418-nucleotide non-coding RNA. NCBI's taxonomy places the organism in Eukaryota, Metazoa, Chordata, Mammalia, Pholidota, Manidae. The record is from RefSeq and is a predicted model, not a curated record.
GUAGCUCACAUAAAGCUAAAAAUAUCUUUAGAGUUCGCUUUCAAGACCCCUCCCCAGGCCAGUCUCACACUCUGCAAGCCAAUGAUGUGUUCCACAAGCAGCAGUGGUUCAACUGUAUUCGAGCUGCCAUAGCCCCUUUCCAGCAGGCCACCAGUCCAGCCGAGCUGCAGGGUUUGCCCGGACUCCAUGAAGAGUGCGUUGAGAACAACCCGUCUGCAGGGAAUGUCAAAACCCAGAGAAGGGCAUCCACAGCAUCCAGUGUGACUCAGGUCGAAGUUGAUGGGGACACUUCAGUGUGUGCCUCCCCUGCGUGCACUCAGACAUGAAGAGUGUCAGAGCGCACCGAGCACAGCCUGGCUUCCCAAAGCCAAGGGACAAAUCUCCAUUGGGUGGCGAAUGGAAAGAGACUUCAGUAUAAAGGAAUUUCUGUGUAUUACUGGUGCAAAGCGUGUUUAUUUAUAAAUGUAUACAGUUUGGGUUUUCUUGUAAUGUGAGCAUGGGAGCAUUGCAGGGUUACUUCAUACUAGUAUUCACAUUUUCUGUUUUUGGUUCUUUUUGUUUUUUUUUAAUGGCAGCUAAAGAUAUAUAUACAGAUUACUGUUAAAACUGCAGCCUUUUUUUUAAGAUAUAUUCUCAUAAUUUGGAACAUGCAAGCCUGGUAUUUUUAAUCAAAUGAAAUAUUUAUGGAAUUGGUUUCUUCUUCACUCUAAAUUCAUUAGGACUUUCCAAUACCUACCUGUUGUGAUAUUUACAAUAUCUACCAAACCUUAAAAUUUUGCAAAUACUGGGAUUUUACCAGUGUUUCUUUGAUAAACUGCAUGUGCAGAAUUUGAAAUUUUAACAUUGGCUCCUAAAACCUACACAGAAUACAGGUGUGUAAUACAUUAGAAUUUAUACUGAAACAUAAGUUCCUUUUGAAACAAAGUAUAAAACUUUAUACAGAUUUUCCACUUUAUCAACUGGAAUACUUUAUAUUAGUUUUUGUCACUCCACAUUCCUCAUUUUCAUUCACUUAACCUGCCAAGUAUUUAAUUAUUUUUUAUUACAAAGUAGUUUUUAGUAUUUACUUCAUUUAUUUAUUUUUUUUUACUUUGCCAGCUUUACAGAUUGGUAGCCUUUAUUUGUCCCCCUUGAUAAAAAUGUGUACAUAUGUGCAUAUAUAUAUAUGUGUGUGUGUGUGUGUGUGUUUUAAAUCAUAUUACCUUUAUCAACUGAAACCAAGCCAUACUGUUUUUGAGCCAAUGAAGAACGUUGUGACUUUUCAGGUGUAGCAGUGCAAGGUGGUGAACACACAUGAACUGUCGCGGUGUAUUCUGGACGACUGAAAGAAAACCACCUGAAGGAUUUGGUUGAGAGCUUUAGUGUUGUCUGAAAAGCAGGAGCAGAGGCAGUUGGCUGCUAAUACAUAAAAAAGAGGG